This 383-nucleotide long non-coding RNA is filed under the name Zostera marina. RNAcentral describes it as "long non-coding RNA (ZMAR_LNC000614)". The record is from RNAcentral. Lineage: Eukaryota; Viridiplantae; Streptophyta; Magnoliopsida; Alismatales; Zosteraceae.
AAUCAUUCCUAGUUUCUUAUAAAAUAUUAUUUCUUUCAAUUGUUUAUUAUUUUACUGAUGCAUACUUUCUGCAAUCUUAUAUAUGUUCUAAAUUACUUAAUUGACGAUCAAACAAUAGCUGAUGAUUUAUUGGUUCUUCUAUGUAUCUUUUUCAACUUUUAUAACAUAAUUUAUAACAUAUAUCCUGUUAGAAAUCAAAUUAUCAGAGAAACUUAAAUCUGAACAAUUAAAAUCAAUCUGUAUAGCAAUAGCAAAUCUAUGUAUCAUUUGCCCAAUCAGCAUAGCAAUAGCCCAUAAUAUCAAGGUUGUUAGUCUUCCUUAGCACAAUUCCCAUAGUUUGAGUAUCUGAAAGAUAUCUCAUAUCUCAGUACUCUCUUCAUGGC